Sciurus carolinensis (gray squirrel) is the source of this 164-nucleotide long non-coding RNA. RefSeq lists it as uncharacterized. The record is from RefSeq and is a predicted model, not a curated record. NCBI's taxonomy places the organism in Eukaryota, Metazoa, Chordata, Mammalia, Rodentia, Sciuridae. The transcript is spliced from 2 exons.
UCAGGACACAGCAUGGACAUGAGGGCCCCUGCUCAGCUCCUGGGGCUACUUCUGCUCUGCCUCCCAGGUGGCAGAAGUGACAUCCAGAUGACACAGUCUCCAUCUCUUCUGUCAGUAUCUCGAGGUGACAGAGUCACCAUCACCUGCAGGGCAAGUCAGGGCAU